Molecule: ribosomal RNA, 253 nt
Filed under: uncultured bacterium
Lineage: Bacteria
Description: partial 16S ribosomal RNA
Rfam family: Bacterial small subunit ribosomal RNA
Source: RNAcentral
UACGGGGGGGGCAAGCGUUGUUCGGAAUUACUGGGCGUAAAGGGCCCGUAGGCGGCCAACUAAGUCCGACGUGAAAUCCCAAGGCUUAACCUUGGAACUGCGUCGGAUACUGGAUGGCUUGAAUUCGGGAGAGGGAUGCAGAAUUCCAGGUGUAGCGGUGAAAUGCGUAGAUAUCUGGAGGAGUACCGGUGGCGAAGGCGGCAUCCUGGACCGACAUUGACGCUGAACGGCGAAAGCUAGGGGAGCAAACGGG